RNAcentral lists this unclassified non-coding RNA (1104 nucleotides) under Hevea brasiliensis (rubber tree). The record is from RNAcentral. Lineage: Eukaryota; Viridiplantae; Streptophyta; Magnoliopsida; Malpighiales; Euphorbiaceae.
GGGCAAUUAAAUCUUUAAUCAUGCUAAUUAACAUACAUUAAAAACUGUGCAUUACUAUUAUAUAAUAACCAAUUGCUCAGAAUAAAAUCUUCCUGAUUCCCCUUGCAGAUCAGAGGAAUGUUAAUCUCUGCUCAAUUCACUACAAAUAAUUUAAUUUUCUAAGUAUAUGCUAACACCUAUAUACUAUUGUCUUAUUUAACACCUUUCAUACACCUCCCUCCACUCUGCAUUCUACAAUCUCACGAACCCUUCUCUUCUUCUUUCUGCUCAAACAAGCUUCGAUGUUGGACGUUAAUUGGAUAUCGCUUCAGCAUCCUUGUCGUUGGGAAGAAAACUAACUUAUCUGCCUCAGCCGGAACCCAACUAAAACGAGUCACCAAGUGGUGAAGGAAAACAGAGAGUUCCACUCUAGCAAGCUCGUAACCAGGACAUCGACGAGGUCCACCACCAAAUGGUGUGAAUACGUUAGGUGAGCUUGUCGGUCCUGCACUACUCUGCCACCUCCAUGGAUCAAAUGUACGCGCAUCUUUGAAAUGUUCAUGGUCUAGAUGAACAGCUCGGAGAGAAGCAAAAACCUUCCAACCUUUUGGAAUGGUAUAACCUUUGAUAUUUAUGUCAGUCAUGGCUCUCCUGAACACUCCACUAAUUAUGUUAGCGAUUCGCAGAGUUUCAUUAACAACGCAUUGAGUGAAGGGCAUUGACUUGUAAUCUUCCCAUUGUAAAGACUUAACUUCACCUUUUCUUAACCUGAUCUCCUCGUGCUCUUCCUUAAGUAGUGAUAGAGCACGGGGUGUCUCCGUGAGGAAUUUUACAGCAAGGGUCAUGAUGGUGGAGGUAGUUUCAUAGCCAGCAACAAGCAACGCCAGUAUAAAAUCAACAAUUUCCUCAUCGGAAAAUCCUACUCCUUCAACUCCGUCUCCUUCGAACAAUGCCUCCAACAUAUCAUUCUUUCGUUCUCCUCCGUCUCGUUCUUUUCUCCGAUCUCUCACUACCAAUCCCAACGCCUCCGCUACUUUCGUUCUCGCUUGAAUGGCCUUGCGAUAGGUGGAUGAGAAAAUAGGCAAAGGAAUGCAGAAGAAACCUUCAAUAACAAGCAUAUACUCU